CCUGUGUCUCCUCACCCCCAG
This 21-nucleotide microRNA is filed under the name Monodelphis domestica (gray short-tailed opossum). RNAcentral's name for it is "mdo-miR-12341-3p". The record is from miRBase by way of RNAcentral. Lineage: Eukaryota; Metazoa; Chordata; Mammalia; Didelphimorphia; Didelphidae.